UGGGUUUCUUAUCUUCUCAAAGAAUUACAAGUUUCUGUUCAGUUGCCUAUUCCUCUCAUGUGUGAUAACCAAGCUGCAAUUCAUAUUCCUAGCAAUCCUGUUUUUCAUGAGAGAACCAAGCAUUUAGAUAUUGACUCCCAUCUGGUUCGAGAGCAAUUGCAGAAGGUUUUUGUUCAGCCUACUCAUUUGUCCUUUGCCCAUCAAAUUGCUGAUAUAUUCACUAAGCUCUUAGGUGCUGCUUCUCAUCAUUAUCUGAAGUCCAAGUUGGGUUUGAUCGACUUUCCUCAAACUCCAACUUGAGGAUGUUGGCAGAUUAAUUUUAUUUAGUCUAUUUUUCUUAUUUUUAGUUAUCAAAUUUCAGAUGGAUGAGUUGGCAAAAAAGUCAACAUUUAUGGGCUUAUCCAGCUAGUGUAUAUAUAUGAG
This 423-nucleotide unclassified non-coding RNA is filed under the name Hevea brasiliensis (rubber tree). The record is from RNAcentral. Lineage: Eukaryota; Viridiplantae; Streptophyta; Magnoliopsida; Malpighiales; Euphorbiaceae.